AGCCCCCUAUUUUUACCCCUGAAUUAUCUACAUGCCUGUCUACCUAUCCACCUCCCUCCCUACCUACCACCCAACCUGCCUGCUCAAUAACCAAUCAAUCUCUAUGAGAAUAAAUAUUACCAUCUAGCUACCCGCCUAUCUAUCAACGCUAGCUUACUAGCUGACUACCUGCCGUCCUACCUGCCUAUCUCUCUACUGAGCUGCUUGAAUGAAUGAUAUCCACUGAUGAUAUCUAUUGACGACAUCCACUAAUGAAUUCUAGCAAUGGUAUCUAGCAAUGAUAUAUAUCGCCCGCACAAUCCUCUUUAUUACGAAAUACCUAGGCAGC
RNAcentral lists this small RNA (328 nucleotides) under Histoplasma capsulatum. Its description in RNAcentral is "hypothetical RNA". Lineage: Eukaryota; Fungi; Ascomycota; Eurotiomycetes; Onygenales; Ajellomycetaceae. The record is from RNAcentral. RNAcentral also lists the same sequence under 1 other name.